This 341-nucleotide unclassified non-coding RNA is filed under the name soil metagenome. RNAcentral describes it as "partial contains 5.8S ribosomal RNA, internal transcribed spacer 2, and large subunit ribosomal RNA". The stretch from base 1 to 120 matches the Rfam family "5.8S ribosomal RNA", at positions 35 to 154 of the family's 154-position model. The record is from RNAcentral.
GAUGAAGAACGUAGUGAAAUGCGAUAAGUAGUGUGAAUUGCAGAAUUCAGUGAAUCAUCGAAUCUUUGAACGCACAUUGCGCCCCUUGGUAUUCCAUGGGGCAUGCCUGUUCGAGCGUCAUUUGUACCCUCAAGCUAUGCUUGGUGUUGGGUGUUUGUCCUCUCCUUUUGCGAUUGGACUCGCCUUAAAGACAUUGGCAGCCAGUGUAUUGGUCUUGAAGCGCAGCACAUUUUGCGAUUCUUGCUGAUAAUCACUAGCGUCCAGUAAGCCUAUUUUAACACUUUUGACCUCGGAUCAGGUAGGGAUACCCGCUGAACUUAAGCAUAUCAAUAAGCGGAGGA